CUCAGCUCAGCUCCUCCUUUUUACUUAGUCCAAGACUCCACCCGGUGGAAGGAUGCCACCUCUUCGGUCAGACCUCUCUGGAAACACUCUCACAGACAUGCUGAAGGACUCGUUCACAGAUGAUUCUAAAUGCAGUCGAGUUGACAAGGAAGAUUGGCCUUCACGCAAUGCUUGCAUACUUCUGGCACUUCAUAGAUCUGUGUCAGACACAUCAUAUAUAGAUUUCCUUAGUAGAAAGAGCUGACAAGAAAUCAAGUUGUACUCUGUGAGGAAGACCUACCUGACAUCUGACUCCUGAGGACUGAAGAUGGUAGUCACGAGUGGCUGAGAAACAUGAAGAUAAGUCUGACGAGCAUCAUUUGUGUGGGGAGAACACAAAGAUGAAGGUAGAAGGCAACCGUGACCAUCGCCCAUGCUGCCAGCUGCGAGGAGGUUGGUACUGGGAACAGCUAUGCAUCUAGCAUUGACUCAAGCUCGGCUGGGAUGAACAUAUUGUACUUGGCAGAAUUGCUCUAUUCUCUGGAACCCGGCUUGUUUCUUGAAAGAGAGAUAUUUCAGGAAAACCACCUGGAGGAAACAAGUCAUGCUGCCUUCAUCCUUGAAAAUCCCUCCACAUCCAAGGAGGCUACAGACAGGCUCACUCCUCACAGCAUGAGAUUGGUCAAGGUCCAGCAAUCAAAUGCAGUUGUGCCACGUGUUUGCUUGGCUCCGCCAUUGUUGGCUUCAGAUGUGUCCCUGAAAAAAUCUGCAUUUCUUUUAUUUUUUUUGUGAUCUUCAGUGUCUCUUCCUGACUUGAGCUGUGUCUGGAAAUAAAAGUAGGUUCCAGAAGAAAAAGGUCAAGAAGGAAGAAAAGAAGCCAUGGCAGCAGAAGAAUGGGAGCCACAUGACUGGGGACAUUUUCUUCCAUGGAAUGCUUUGGAAGAGCAGCAAUGCUUGGUCAUUGGUCUCUUGUCUCUAGAGGCAUAUUUUAGUACUGGGAGUUUCUCUGAAAAGUCACAGCAGCUGCUGCCUUAGUUUACCACAUGGAGUCGUGCAGAUUGUAUAGACAUGCUUCAGGAAUCAUCCCAAAGGCAAAGACUCUACGUGAGUACAUAUCUCCUGAAUGAGCCUAAGUGAAAUUAGAAGUCACUCUCUUGGAACCGAUCCUCCUGAACAGGAUUCGGGUGGACUGAUUCUCAAAGGCCAUCAGAAGGCAGAGGAGAGAGGAAAGACCAUUCUGAGCAGAGGAAAGGCAAAGAUCAAAGCUAGCCACAGAGCACAGUUCACAGAAACAGCAACAGGCAAGAGGUCGAUGGCUCCAAAACUAACUUCAAAACAGGAAAGGAGAGCUGAUGGAUACCCUUGACCUUUGAGUCAACAGGCUCCUCUGAACUCAUCAGUCAAAAUAUCCCAAGAGGCACCUGAGUUCUGUCAGUACAAGCACUCCAGUGCUAUCUCAGUGAUCUCAGCUAGUAUUCCAGUGGACGGAGGGGGGGGGGGGACAAAGCAACCAAUUAAAGGCAUCUUUCCUUGGAUUUGACUAACUAAAUAACAUCACUCUGAUAUUUGGCUUGGGAGUCCAUUCAGAGAUCAAAGUGUACCAUUUUACGAGCAAAACUCCAUCCAUGGUCCUAUCUGUGCAGUUGUGUGAGCACCUUACUCACACCACUAUUCUCUUCCUGUGGAGAGUGAACAAGAUGGCUCUAUAGCUUGCCACCAAGCCCAAAGAUCUGCGUUUGAUCCCUGGGGCCCACAAGGCAAAAGAAAUAACCCUCACAAUGACUUUACACACAGGCUGUAUUAUAUGUGCCCAAGCACGUGCAUGCACGCGAAUUCACACAAAGAAAUCAAUGAAAGCAUAAUAAAAUUU
RNAcentral lists this long non-coding RNA (1849 nucleotides) under Mus pahari (shrew mouse). RNAcentral describes it as "lncRNA (MGP_PahariEiJ_G0005789.1)". The record is from RNAcentral. Lineage: Eukaryota; Metazoa; Chordata; Mammalia; Rodentia; Muridae.